GACGAUCCUCUCGAGCAUCUUGCCCGCUU
This 29-nucleotide small RNA is filed under the name Bombyx mori (domestic silkworm). RNAcentral's name for it is "ovarian small RNA-15553". The record is from RNAcentral. Lineage: Eukaryota; Metazoa; Arthropoda; Insecta; Lepidoptera; Bombycidae.